GAGCAAGAAGCAUACAGUUCAGUUCUAAGAGCCUUUAAAGCUCAGGCUGAUGCCAUUACUUGGGAGAAGGAAAGUCUCAUAUCUGAAUUAAGAAAAGAGUUAAGAUUGUCCAGUGAACACCAUCGAGAAUUUCUUGGUAGAGUCAAUGAAGAUGAUGUUGUCCGAAGAAUAAGG
Solanum verrucosum is the source of this 174-nucleotide long non-coding RNA. RefSeq lists it as uncharacterized. The record is from RefSeq and is a predicted model, not a curated record. The transcript has 2 exons. NCBI's taxonomy places the organism in Eukaryota, Viridiplantae, Streptophyta, Magnoliopsida, Solanales, Solanaceae.